UGGGGAAUAUUGCACAAUGGAGGGAACUCUGAUGCAGCGACGCCGCGUGAGUGAUGAAGGACUUCGUUUCGUAAAACUCUGUUCUAUGGGAAGAAAAGGACUGUACCAUAGGAGAAAGCUCCGGCUAAAUACGUGCCAGCAGCCGCGGUAAUACGUAUGGAGCGAGCGUUGUCCGGAAUUAUUGGGCGUAAAGGGUGCGCAGGCGGCUUUACAAGUUGGAUGUGAAAUAUUGUGGCUCAACCACAAACGUGCAUCCAAAACUGCAAAGGUUGAGUUAAGGAGAGGUAAGUAGAAUUCCUGGUGUAGCGGUGGAAUGCGUAGAUAUCAGGAAGAAUACCGGUGGCGAAGGCGUCUUGCUGGACUUAAACUGACGCUCAGGCACGAAAGCGGGGGGAGCAAACAGG
RNAcentral lists this ribosomal RNA (404 nucleotides) under Fusobacteriota bacterium. Its description in RNAcentral is "Fusobacteria bacterium partial 16S ribosomal RNA". It matches the Rfam family "Bacterial small subunit ribosomal RNA", at positions 355 to 776 of the family's 1533-position model. Lineage: Bacteria; Fusobacteriati; Fusobacteriota. The record is from RNAcentral.